This 1315-nucleotide ribosomal RNA is filed under the name metagenome. RNAcentral describes it as "bacterial LSU rRNA". It matches the Rfam family "Bacterial large subunit ribosomal RNA", at positions 1582 to 2905 of the family's 2925-position model. The record is from RNAcentral.
AAAUUUGUUUAAUUUAAGUCAAACUUCCAAGAAAAGCUCUUAUUACUGUUAAAUUAAAAUAACCUGUACCCUAAACUGACACAAGUAGGUAGGUAGAGAAUACUAAGGGGCGCGAGAUAACUCUCUCUAAGGAACUCGGCAAAAUGGCCCCGUAACUUCGGGAGGAGGGGUGGUGUUAUUUUCUAAAUAACUCCCGCAGUGACCAGGCCCAGGCGACUGUUUAUCAAAAACACAGGUCUCCGCAAAGUCGUAAGACAAUGUAUGGGGGCUGACGUCUGCCCAGUGCCGGAAGGUAAAAGAAGUUGGUUAUUCUUUAGAAAAAGCUGACGACUGAAGCCCCGGUGAACGGCGGCUGUAACACUGACAGUCCUAAGGUAGCGAAAUUCCUUGUCGAGUAAGUUUCGACCCGCACGAAAGACGUAACGAUCUGGGCACUGUCUCGGAGAGAGACUCGGUGAAAUAGAAAUGUCUGUGAAGAUGCGGACUACUUAUACCAGGACAGAAAGACCCUAUGAAGCUUGACUGUAAUUUGGAAUUGAGUUCGGGCUUUCUUUGCGCAGUCUAGGUGGGAGGCAUUGAUGUAAAAUUUUUGGAUUUUAUGGAGCCAAAAUUGAGAGACCACCCUAAAAAGGCUAGAAUUCUAAUAGGACUCCUUGAAUCAGGAUCCUUGACAGUUUCAGAUGGACAGUUUGACUGGGGCGGUGAUCUCCUAAAAGGUAACGGAGAUGUGCAAAGGUUCUCUCAGGCUGGACGGAAAUCAGCUAUAGAGUGUAAAGGUAGAAGAGAGCUUGACUGCAAGACCAACAAGUCGAGCAGGGGCGAAAGCCGGCCUUAGUGAUCCGACGGUUCCGAGUGGAAGGGCCGUCGCUCAACGGAUAAAAGUUACUCUAAGGAUAACAGGCUGAUCUCCCCCAAGAGUUCACAUCGACGGGGAGGUUUGGCACCUCGAUGUCGGCUCAUCGCAACCUGGGGCUGGAGUCGGUCCCAAGGGUUGGGCUGUUCGCCCAUGAAAGCGGUACGUGAGCUGGGUUCAGAACGUCGUGAGACAGUUCGGUCCAUAUCCGGUAUAAGCGUAAGAGCAUUGAGAGGAUCUCAACAUUGUACGAGAGGACCCGAAGGGACGUACCUAUGGUGUACCAGUUCUUAUGCCAAUAGGAAACGCUGGGUAGCUAUGUACGGAGUGGAUAAUCGCUGAAAGCAUUUAAGUGAGAAGCCCACCUCAAGAUGAGUGCUCUCUAUUAGAUUACGGCAAGACAAGCCGGUACAUUGGUAUCAAGUGUAAGAUUAGUAAUAAUUUGAGCUGAGAUAUACAAAC